UGGGGAAUAUUGCACAAUGGGCGCAAGCCUGAUGCAGCCAUGCCGCGUGUGUGAAGAAGGCCUUCGGGUUGUAAAGCACUUUCAGCGAGGAGGAAGGGUAGUGUGUUAAUAGCACAUUGCAUUGACGUUACUCGCAGAAGAAGCACCGGCUAACUCCGUGCCAGCAGCCGCGGUAAUACGGAGGGUGCAAGCGUUAAUCGGAAUUACUGGGCGUAAAGCGCACGCAGGCGGUUUGUUAAGUCAGAUGUGAAAUCCCCGCGCUUAACGUGGGAACUGCAUUGGAAACUGGCAAGCUAGAGUCUUGUAGAGGGGGGUAGAAUUCCAGGUGUAGCGGUGAAAUGCGUAGAGAUCUGGAGGAAUACCGGUGGCGAAGGCGGCCCCCUGGACAAAGACUGACGCUCAGGUGCGAAAGCGUGGGGAGCAAACA
Molecule: ribosomal RNA, 427 nt
Filed under: uncultured bacterium
Lineage: Bacteria
Description: partial 16S ribosomal RNA
Rfam family: Bacterial small subunit ribosomal RNA
Source: RNAcentral